GACGAACGCUGGCGGCGUGCCUAAUACAUGCAAGUUGAGCGCUGAAGGCUGGUACUUGUGCCAUCUGGAUGAGCAGCGCACGGGUGAGUAACGCGUGGGGCAUGUGCCUUUGUGCGGGGGACCAUCUUUGGACACGCAUGCAUAUACGGCAUAAGAACUUUAUACACAAGUUGUAAGGUUGAAAGAUGCAAUUGCGUCAGUUAAGGAUGAUCUCGCGUUGUGUUAGUUAGGUGGUGGGGUAAUGGCUCACCAAGGCGUUGAUGGAGAGACGGACUGAGAGGGUGACCGGGCACAUUGGGACUGAGAUACGGCCCAGACGCCUACGGGAGGCAGCAGUGGGGAAUAUUGCACAAUGGGCGGAAGCCUGAUGCAGGAACGCCGCGUGCGGGAUGACGGCCUUCGGGUUGUAAACCGCUUGCGCCUGUGACGAAGCGUGAGUGACGGUAAUGAGUAAAGAAGCACCGGCUAACUACGUG
This 476-nucleotide ribosomal RNA is filed under the name uncultured bacterium. RNAcentral's name for it is "partial 16S ribosomal RNA". It matches the Rfam family "Bacterial small subunit ribosomal RNA", at positions 28 to 507 of the family's 1533-position model. The record is from RNAcentral.